AUGCAGCAUCUAAGUAAGCUGAGGGGUGGGAAAGACAGUGUGUGCCUAUUUCUGUCUGUAAACAGGCCCAGUGUGGGCUGCUGCUCUGGUCAGCGAGGGGUGGAAGGCUGCAGGAGGACUUGGCACAAAAUAAGCUCCCCCUCCCCAACAAAUGUGUCUUUGCCUCUAGUUUUGCAAAAGAGAAGACUCCAAAGCCCCCGGAUCUUCAUGGCACUGCCAAGUAUGACCCCCUGUUCCCUGUUCAAAAUCAAUACACCCCCUCAUGCCCUCCCUCCCCUUUCAAAAGGACAAGCCAGGGAGAGAGAGUUGGAGGGAGUCGGAGGAAGGUUAAGCCUGGAAAAGCCAAGCCUCCUGGCAGGGACCCGUUUCCAGUUUGCUCAGAUAGUGCAAGUGGGGAGCCUCCUGGUCCCCGUCAGCAGUUUCUUAGGGAGGGCAGUGGACUUGGUGGACACAGACGUCCAUGCCCAGAGGUUUCUUGGCUUUAGUCCAAGCAGCUGGCAGGUUCAUCCUUCUCCCCACAAACACCACUUCCGGCCCUCCAGCCCCUGCUUGGGCUCUUCCUGCCUAGACGUCCCUGCCCAAGCCCGCCCUCCUCCCGCAGAGCUGGCUCCCUCCCUUCACAGCCCUUUUUUUCGCUCUCUCAGUCUCCAUAUCUAUUUCUUCUCCCUCCUUCUCCUCCUCCCCUGCUUCUCUCCUCCUUGCCAUCCCUCACCAGUCCCAGAAUGGAUUUCCCUCCCUUUCUCCCUCUCCGACAGUAUCUCCCCCCGCCUUAGCUCUCACCCCUGCACCUCUUUCUUUGUAUUCUUCUCGCCCUCUCCCGGCCUCGCCAGCAUCUCUCCUCCCCCGGCUGGAGAGAGAGGGGACUCUCUCCUUGCGGCUCCCCCACCUUGGCUCUCUGGGUUGGAGCAGGCUCUCCGGAAGGGGAGGGGGCUCGGCUGGUCUGGGCGAGGUGGGAGUGGAGGUAUCCUGCCAUGGAUGCUGUGCCUGGGAGGCAGCCUGAGCCCCAGCCCACAUGGUGAGUACCUGCCCCCUCCCUUCCGCCCGUCCGCCCAUCCCCACCCUCGCCUUUUCCCUGCGGAG
This 1080-nucleotide long non-coding RNA is filed under the name Sus scrofa (pig). Its description in RNAcentral is "lncRNA (ENSSSCG00070001554.1)". The record is from RNAcentral. Lineage: Eukaryota; Metazoa; Chordata; Mammalia; Artiodactyla; Suidae.